RNAcentral lists this ribosomal RNA (468 nucleotides) under uncultured bacterium. Its description in RNAcentral is "partial 16S ribosomal RNA". It matches the Rfam family "Bacterial small subunit ribosomal RNA", at positions 28 to 507 of the family's 1533-position model. The record is from RNAcentral.
GACGAACGCUGGCGGCGUGCUUAACACAUGCAAGUCGAACGGAAAGGCCCUGCUUUUGUGGGGUGCUCGAGUGGCGAACGGGUGAGUAACACGUGAGUAACCUGCCCUUGACUUUGGGAUAACUUCAGGAAACUGGGGCUAAUACCGGAUAGGAGCUCCUGCUGCAUGGUGGGGGUUGGAAAGUUUCGGCGGUUGGGGAUGGACUCGCGGCUUAUCAGCUUGUUGGUGGGGUAGUGGCUUACCAAGGCUUUGACGGGUAGCCGGCCUGAGAGGGUGACCGGCCACAUUGGGACUGAGGUACGGCCCAGACGCCUACGGGAGGCAGCAGUGGGGAAUAUUGCACAAUGGGCGGAAGCCUGAUGCAGCAGCGCCGCGUGCGGGAUGACGGCCUUCGGGUUGUAAACCGCUUUCGCCUGUGACGAAGCGUGAGUGACGGUAAUGGGUAAAGAAGCACCGGCUAACUACGUG